Molecule: ribosomal RNA, 963 nt
Filed under: Triticum aestivum (bread wheat)
Lineage: Eukaryota; Viridiplantae; Streptophyta; Magnoliopsida; Poales; Poaceae
Description: partial small subunit ribosomal RNA
Source: RNAcentral
GUUCAAGUUUUACGAGCCAAGUACUAUCCGGAUGGGGACUUGAUGAAUGCUACCUUGAAAAAAGAUUCAUCAUAUACAUGGCAAAGUAUCAUGGCUGGUAUGAAAACUUUUAAACAUGGGGUGAUCCGGCGACCUGGGGAUGGUGCAUCUAUUGACAUUUGGAAGGACCAGUGGAUCCCUACAAGCCAUGAUCGGAAGGUAAUGACCCCAAGGGGGCAAUGUUUACUACAGAAAGUACAAGAGCUGAUUGACCCAAUAUCUGGAUAUUGGGAUGAACAACUAGUAAGGGAAAUUUUUUGGCCUGUGGAUGCGGAAAAGAUGCUGCAAAUACCACUAUCAUCCCAUGGCCAGUCUGAUUUUAUUUCCUGGCAUUUUUCUAAGUCGGGAUGUUUCACUAUUCGUUCUGCAUACCAUGCCACAUGGAAAUCUGAAUACAGAACAAGGGCACGGAUGAACGCUGGAGCGGGAAGGAUUGAUCCGCACCCGGUCUGGAAGGUCCUUUGGGGGAGGGCGGUGCCGCCUAAGGUGAAUGUAUUCAACUGGACAGUGUUGCACGGGAUCGUGCCAUGCUACUGUACGCUAUCAGAUCGUCAUUUGUCGACGCCGGUGGUUUGUCCAGUGUGCUGUAAGGACCCUGAGGAUUUGCGCCAUAUGUUGUUUACUUGUGAUCGAGCAAAGAUUGUCUGGAGGGAGCUUGGUUUGGAAACUGCGAUCGAGACGGCCGCGGCCCAUGAGCGAUCUGGGUCGGUCAUUCUUGAAAAUCUAUUGUGCUCCGAGCUACCAGGACAGAUAAAAUUGGCAACUGAUAAUGGGGUGGAGACAGUAAUGGUUACUGGAUGGUACUUGUGGUGGGAUCGUCGGAAAAUCAGUCAUCAUGAGACUUUUAGUAGCCCGGUUCGGUCGGCCAUGAGUAUUCGUGGUAUUGUGGCAAACUCGCUGCUGCCAAAGCAAAUGUAUCGGUGA